RNAcentral lists this ribosomal RNA (435 nucleotides) under uncultured bacterium. RNAcentral describes it as "bacterial SSU rRNA". It matches the Rfam family "Bacterial small subunit ribosomal RNA", at positions 29 to 371 of the family's 1533-position model. The record is from RNAcentral.
AAUGAACGCUGGCGGCGUGCUUAAGGCAUGCAAGUCGUACGAGAAAGUGGCUUCGGUCACGAGUAAAGUGGCGCACGGGUGAGUAAUACUUAGGUGACGUACCUUUUUGCUGGGGAUAACUAGGCGAAAGCUUAGCUAAUACCGAAUGAUGGGGUUGUUUCAAAAUUUCUGACGAAAUUUUCGAUUUCUUUGGUUGGUGGAGCGCCCUCUGGGGCCUCCACCAACGGCCAUUUAUCGAGAAUUUGCAGUGAUUUUGAGACAAUCCCUAAAGCCGUAAGGCGCGAAAAGAGCGGCCUAAGUCCUAUUAGCUAGUUGGUAAGGUAAUGGCUUACCAAGGCUUCGAUGGGUAGCUGGUCUGAGAGGAUGAUCAGCCACACUGGUACUGGAACACGGACCAGACUCCUACGGGAGGCAGCAGCUAGGAAUCUUGCGCAA